AGGGGCGCCUGGGUGGCUCCAUCGGUGAAGUGUCUGCCUUCGGCUCAGCUUGAAGAACAGGAAGACUUGAAGAACAGGAAGUCCAUCUUGAAGCAUAGUUUGAGAUUCGAGUAUUUAGAAUUUGUUCACAAGACGAUAACCUGUCAGGGAACACUUAAAAAUCUUUGGAAUUAAAAAGGAA
Molecule: long non-coding RNA, 181 nt
Organism: Lutra lutra (Eurasian river otter)
Lineage: Eukaryota; Metazoa; Chordata; Mammalia; Carnivora; Mustelidae
Exons: 2
Source: RefSeq, a predicted model, not a curated record